AGUGUAAGCAAGAGGGUGAGCGUGGUCAGAGUAAAGCUGCUCCACCCCCAGACUGCAAUGCUACCAAUAAAACCACCUGGUGUUUACAACUAAUUGAUCACAACCAGUUACAGAUUUCUUUCUUUCUUCUCCACUCCCACUGCUUGACUAGCCUUAA
Molecule: small RNA, 157 nt
Filed under: Mandrillus leucophaeus (drill)
Lineage: Eukaryota; Metazoa; Chordata; Mammalia; Primates; Cercopithecidae
Description: Y RNA (ENSMLEG00000011584.1)
Source: RNAcentral